Acanthosepion pharaonis is the source of this 104-nucleotide non-coding RNA. NCBI's taxonomy places the organism in Eukaryota, Metazoa, Mollusca, Cephalopoda, Sepiida, Sepiidae. The record is from the annotation of a GenBank genome assembly.
AUAGCCAUAUCAUAUUGAAUACACUGGUUCUUGUCCGAAGUUAAGCAAUGUUGAGCCUGGUCAGUACUUAGAUAGGUGACCACUUGGGAAUACCAAAGGCUGUA